UACGGGAGGCAGCAGUGGGGAAUUUUGGACAAUGGGCGAAAGCCUGAUCCAGCAAUGCCGCGUGUGUGAAGAAGGCCUUCGGGUUGUAAAGCACUUUUGUCCGGAAAGAAAACCUCCGCCCUAAUAUGGUGGGGGGAUGACGGUACCGGAAGAAUAAGCACCGGCUAACUACGUGCCAGCAGCCGCGGUAAUACGUAGGGUGCAAGCGUUAAUCGGAAUUACUGGGCGUAAAGCGUGCGCAGGCGGUCCGCUAAGACAGAUGUGAAAUCCCCGGGCUUAACCUGGGAACUGCAUUUGUGACUGGCGGGCUAGAGUAUGGCAGAGGGGGGUAGAAUUCCACGUGUAGCAGUGAAAUGCGUAGAGAUGUGGAGGAAUACCGAUGGCGAAGGCAGCCCCCUGGGCCAAUACUGACGCUCAUGCACGAAAGCGUGGGGAGCAAACAGGAUUAGAUACCCUGGUAGUCCACGCCCUAAACGAUGUCAACUAGUUGUCGGGUCUUCAUUGACUUGGUAACGUAGCUAACGCGUGAAGUUGACCGCCUGGGGAGUACGGUCGCAAGAUUAAAACUCAAAGGAAUUGACGGGGACCCGCACAAGCGGUGGAUGAUGUGGAUUAAUUCGAUGCAACGCGAAAAACCUUACCUACCCUUGACAUGUAUGGAACCUGGCUGAGAGGUCAGGGUGCCCGAAAGGGAGCCAUAACACAGGUGCUGC
RNAcentral lists this ribosomal RNA (713 nucleotides) under Paraburkholderia sp. RNAcentral's name for it is "bacterial SSU rRNA". It matches the Rfam family "Bacterial small subunit ribosomal RNA", at positions 340 to 1044 of the family's 1533-position model. The record is from RNAcentral. Lineage: Bacteria; Pseudomonadati; Pseudomonadota; Betaproteobacteria; Burkholderiales; Burkholderiaceae.